Molecule: ribosomal RNA, 1245 nt
Filed under: metagenome
Description: bacterial LSU rRNA
Rfam family: Bacterial large subunit ribosomal RNA
Source: RNAcentral
UGAAUACGAGAUGCUACGGCGUCGAAGCAGUCUAUGUCAUACUUCCAAGAAAAGCUUGCACUGUCAUAAACAAAUAAUGCCUGUACCAUAACCGACACAGGUGGGUAGGUAGAGUAUACUAAGGGGCGCGAGAUAACUCUCUCUAAGGAACUCGGCAAAAUGACUCCGUAACUUCGGGAGAAGGAGUGCCUUAUUUAUAAGGUUGCAAUAACAAGAUCCAAGCAACUGUUUACCAAAAACACAGGUCUCCGCUAAGUCGUAAGACGAUGUAUGGGGGCUGACGCCUGCCCAGUGCCAGAAGGUUAAAGAAGUUGGUUAGCAUCCGCGAAGCUGAUAACUGAAGCCCUGGUGAACGGCGGCCGUAACAAUAACGGUCCUAAGGUAGCGAAAUUCCUUGUCGGGUAAGUUCCGACCCGCACGAAAGGCGUAAUGAUUUGGAUACUGUCUCGGAGAGGGGCUCGGUGAAAUAGACUUGUCUGUGAAGAUGCGGACUACCUGCACCAGGACAGAAAGACCCUAUGAAGCUUUACUGUAACCUGAAAUUGAAAUUGGACUUUACUUGCGCAGUAUAGGUGGGAGGCGUUGAGAAUAUUCUUGCGGGAUUAUUGGAGCCAUCAGUGAGAUACCACUCUUGUAAUGUUAGAUUUCUAACUUUGUAUCAUUAUCUGGUCAAAGAACAGUUUCAGGCGGGCAGUUUGACUGGGGCGGUCGCCUCCUAAACGGUAACGGAGGCGCACAAAGGUUUCCUCUGAACGGGUAGAAAUCGUAUCUAGAGUGUAAAGGCAUAAGGAAGCUUGACUGUGAGACCUACAAGUCGAGCAGGGACGAAAGUCGGUCUUAGUGAUCUGACGGUGCUGAGUGGAAAGGCCAUCACUCAACGGAUAAAAGUUACUCUAAGGAUAACAGGCUGAUCUCCCCCAAGAGUUCACAUCGACGGGGAGGUUUGGCACCUCGAUGUCGGCUCAUCGCAUCCUGGGGCGGUAGUACGUCCCAAGGGUUGGGCUGUUCGCCCAUGAAAGCGGUACGCGAGCUGGGUUCAGAACGUCGUGAGACAGUUCGGUCCAUAUCCGGUGUAGGCGUUAGAAUAUUGAGAGGAGCCUUCUUUAGUACGAGAGGACCGAGAAGGACAUACCUCUGGUGUACCAGUUAUCGUGCCAACGGUAAACGCUGGGUAGCUAUGUGUGGAGUGGAUAACCGCUGAAAGCAUCUAAGUGGGAAGCCCACCUCAAGAUAAGUAUUCUCAUC